Molecule: non-coding RNA, 114 nt
Organism: Acanthosepion pharaonis
Lineage: Eukaryota; Metazoa; Mollusca; Cephalopoda; Sepiida; Sepiidae
Source: the annotation of a GenBank genome assembly
UUACGGCCACAUCACGUUGAAACAUCAGUUCCCGUGCGAUCGCUGAAGUUAAGUAAUGUCAAGCCUGGUCAGUAACUAGACGGGUGACUGCUUUGGAAUAGCAAGUGUUGUAAG